This 1534-nucleotide ribosomal RNA is filed under the name Candidatus Anammoxiglobus propionicus. RNAcentral describes it as "Candidatus Anammoxoglobus propionicus 16S ribosomal RNA". It matches the Rfam family "Bacterial small subunit ribosomal RNA". Lineage: Bacteria; Pseudomonadati; Planctomycetota; Candidatus Brocadiia; Candidatus Brocadiales; Candidatus Brocadiaceae. The record is from RNAcentral.
CAUGCAAGUCGAACGAGGGAGUGUUUCGAAAGGGACACAAACCGAGUGGCGUAAGGGCGAGUAAUGCAUUGAUAACCUGCCUUUGAGAUGGGGAUAACAACGUCUCGCAAGAGACUUCCGAAAGGGUUGCUAAUACCCAAUAAGACUGUUGGUGCGGAGGUGCUGAGAGUCAAAGGUCUGGAGUGAAAGCUCCAUUUGCUCAGAGAGGGGUCAAUGUCCUAUCAGCUAGUUGGUAGGGUAAAGGCCUACCAAGGCGAAGACGGGUAGCCGGCCUGAGAGGGUGGUCGGCCGCAUUGGGACUGAGACACUGCCCAGACUCCUACGGGAGGCUGCAGUCGAGAAUCUUUCGCAAUGCCCGCAAGGGUGACGAAGCGACGCCGCGUGUGGGAAGAAGGCCUUCGGGUUGUAAACCACUGUCGGGAGUUAAGAAAGGUGUACGGGUAAAUAGUCCGUGCAUUUGACAAAAGCUCCGGAGGAAGCCACGGCUAACUCUGUGCCAGCAGCCGCGGUAAUACAGAGGUGGCAAGCGUUGUUCGGAAUUAUUGGGCGUAAAGAGCACGUAGGCGGCCCUGCAAGUCAGCUGUGAAAGCCUCCUGCUUAACGGGAGAAGUGCAGUUGAAACUACGGGGCUAGAGUGCGGAAGGGGAGAGUGGAACUUCUGGUGGAGCGGUGAAAUGCGUAGAUAUCAGAAGGAACACCGGCGGCGAAAGCGGCUCUCUGGUCCGUAACUGACGCUGAGGUGCGAAAGCCAGGGGAGCAAACGGGAUUAGAUACCCCGGUAGUCCUGGCCGUAAACGAUGGGCACUCGGUAGAGGGGUUUUGAAUAUCUCUCUGCCUGAGCUAACGCGUUAAGUGCCCCGCCUGGGGAGUACGGCCGCAAGGCUAAAACUCAAAAGAAUUGACGGGGGCUCGCACAAGCGGUGGAGCAUGUGGCUUAAUUCGAUGCAACACGAAGAACCUUACCGGGGCUCGACAUGACAGAAGUAGGAGUCCGAAAGGACAACCAACGGUAUCCAGUCCGUAGCUGUCACAGGUGUUGCAUGGCUGUCGUCAGCUCGUGUCGUGAGACGUUGGGUUAAGUCCCCUAACGAGCGAAACCCUUGUCUUUAGUUGCCAACGGGUCAAGCCGGGCACUCUAAAGAGACUGCUGUCGUUAAGACGGAGGAAGGUGGGGAUGACGUCAAGUCAUCAUGGCCCUUAUGUCCCGGGCUGCACACGUGCUACAAUGGUCGGUACAAAGGGAUGCUAAAUCGCAAGAUGGAGCGAAACCCAGAAAGCCGGUCCCAGUUCAGAUUGGAGGCUGAAACCCGCCUCCAUGAAGGAGGAAUCGCUAGUAAUCGCGGAUCAGCUAUGCCGCGGUGAAUAUGUUCCCGAGCCUUGUACACACCGCCCGUCAAGCCACCCAAGCAAGAUGCACCCGAAAUUGCUGACCCAACCCGCAAGGGAGGGAGGCGCCUAAGGUGUGUUUUGUGAGGAGGACUAAGUCGUAACAAGGUAGUCGUAGGAGAACCUGCGGCUGGAUCACCUCCUUUCU